GAUGAAGAACGCAGCGAAAUGCGAUACUUGGUGUGAAUUGCAGAAUCCCGUGAACCAUCGAGUCUUUGAACGCAAGUUGCGCCCGAAGCCACUAGGCCGAGGGCACGCCUGCCUGGGCGUCACACGCCGUUGCCCCCCCAUCUACUCCUUCGGGAUUGCGGGGGGGCGGAUGAUGGCCUCCCGUGCGCCUAGCCGCGCGGUUGGCAUAAAUACCAAGUCCUCGGCGACGCACGCCACGACAAUCGGUGGUUGCGAAACCUCGGUUGCCCGUCGUGUGCGUUCGUCGCGCAUCGAGGGCUCGAAAAAAUGCUCGGCUCCGGCUGGGCUAUCAACGCGACCCCAGGUCAGGCGGGGUUACCCGCUGAAUUUAAGCAUAUCAAUAAGCGGAGGA
RNAcentral lists this unclassified non-coding RNA (391 nucleotides) under soil metagenome. RNAcentral describes it as "partial contains 5.8S ribosomal RNA, internal transcribed spacer 2, and large subunit ribosomal RNA". The stretch from base 1 to 122 matches the Rfam family "5.8S ribosomal RNA", at positions 35 to 154 of the family's 154-position model. The record is from RNAcentral.